RNAcentral lists this transfer RNA (73 nucleotides) under Chloroflexota bacterium. RNAcentral's name for it is "Chloroflexi bacterium (sediment metagenome) tRNA-Arg". It matches the Rfam family "tRNA". From Rfam's summary of the family: Transfer RNA (tRNA) molecules are approximately 80 nucleotides in length. Their secondary structure includes four short double-helical elements and three loops (D, anti-codon, and T loops). The record is from RNAcentral. RNAcentral also lists the same sequence under 2 other names. Lineage: Bacteria; Bacillati; Chloroflexota.
GGCCCCGUAGCUCAGUGGAUAGAGCGAGUGCUUGCGGAGCACUAGGUCGCAGGUUCAAGUCCUGCCGGGGUCG